This 489-nucleotide ribosomal RNA is filed under the name uncultured bacterium. RNAcentral's name for it is "bacterial SSU rRNA". It matches the Rfam family "Bacterial small subunit ribosomal RNA", at positions 802 to 1298 of the family's 1533-position model. The record is from RNAcentral.
GUAAACGAUGAUGACUAGGUGUUGGGGAGACUCAGUGCCGCAGUUAACACAUUAAGUCAUCCGCCUGGGGAGUACGACCGCAAGGUUGAAACUCAAAGGAAUUGACGGGGACCCGCACAAGCAGCGGAGCAUGUGGUUUAAUUCGAAGCAACGCGAAGAACCUUACCAGGCCUUGACAUCCUCUGACAAUCCUAGAGAUAGGACGUUUCCUUCGGGAACAGAGAGACAGGUGGUGCAUGGUUGUCGUCAGCUCGUGUCGUGAGAUGUUGGGUUAAGUCCCGCAACGAGCGCAACCCUUGCCUUUAGUUGCCAGCAUUGAGUUGGGCACUCUAAAGGGACUGCCGUAGACAAUACGGAGGAAGGUGGGGACGACGUCAAAUCAUCAUGCCCCUUAUGGCCUGGGCUACACACGUGCUACAAUGGGUUGGGACAAAGGGAAGCGAAGCCGCGAGGUGAAGCCAAUCCCAUAAAACAACCCCCAGUUCGGAU